UCUUUUUGUCCAAGAAUUCUUGUGUCUAGAAAUGGACAGGGCCCAGGAAGAGAAGAGUUGACCCCAUGGUUACAUGACUGUGAUGUGUCUGUAUGCUAAUACUGUCAUGUACCAGGCCAGAGAAAGAGCAUAAAGUGUAUGUGCCUCAUAGAGCAGCUGUGGGUAAUUGGUCACUUGUGCUGAAGGGCUAGCCACUUCUUUAGCUUGAUUGAUUGGUUGCUAUUACAUGAUCUUUUCCAUUAUAUUAGAAUAACAUACGCCAGUUGUAUUUGAAGCGGACAAUAACAGAGAAUCAAAAAGAGUCAGACAUAGAGGGGGAACUUUGUCCAGCAGCCCCAUAGAGUCUGCAUGUUAGACACUGACCUUUUUGUAUCAAGAAUGCAUCAAGGCUCUUGAAAGCAGAGGUGCCUCAGAGAGUGACUCGGGUUGAGAGGCGGGCUUUCCAAGUGUGGCACAUUAUGAAUUUUACAAUGUAGGCAUGGGAAAGCAGAAGACGGGUAGAAAUAGGUGAGGCUGGCGAGGAGGGGAGAGCAAUGGUAUCAGGCUGAAGGACAGUCACCCCGUGAGAGCCCUGAGGCGUGCUUGAGCCGAGGUGCAGCACAGCCUGGGGAAUCACGCAGGAGGUGGCUUGGAAGGAAACCAAAAAGUGCACAGAGCUUCCUCAGCGCUGGGCCUUGAGGCUUAUUCUGCAUGCUUUGAAAGGAAGACGGUGAGCUUUACCUGGUGUUGGUUAGUCAAGUUCACUUGCAGACAUGAAGGACGAUUCUCUCAUCAUGAAGCCAGUUCAGAACCUCUCUUGAACUGACUACUUCUCCUGCUUGAGGAGUCCCGUGCAUUCGUCGACCACUUCUAAUUUAGGGUGUAUCAGUGACAGAGAAUAAAAAAAAGGAAGUUGAGGCAGGAUGGUUUAGAAUGCAGGUAUAUUAACUGCCUUCACUGGAGUGUGUAUUUUCAUUGUGAGAGAAGUGACUACUUACAUUUUAGAAAGUAAUUCUUUACAGACACACCUGUGGGACACAGACCGCAGGAUGUAGAACCCCACAAACUUGAGAUCAGAGAGUAGAGCAUGGCAUUCUGGGAGGAAUGGAGGUGGAGCAAGCCGUUUAUUGACACUGCUGACUGUGUUCAAAGUUCCCAAAAGGUGGUUUCAGGAACAGGCAGCUACACCCCUGUGCCUGUGUUCAGGUUUUAACACUAACUGGGAAUUCAUAGUCAUGUGUGAACUAUGGUUGUAAUACAUGCAUUCACCAUAACGGAAGCUUUAUCUGUAUCGUAGGCAGAUCUUUUAGUUGAAUCUUUGGGCUUAGUUCAUGUGUCAGAGCGAAAUGAAUUACGUUCGUUCUGAUGACGAGCUACUCCUUUUGUGAUCAAAAGUUCAUGUGAUCAAAUUUAGUCAUUACUGCAGGUGGAGGAAAAUGGAUCUGGCUUGAUUCUAGCCCCACAGUCGUCUGUGAAGUGUUUCCCUUCACGGCCAUAGGUUUUCGGUUUUUUCUUUCCUUUUGGGAUAGUUCUUUAUAAAUACAGAUGCACCGUAUUUUAGUCCUGUAGAAGGGAAGGGAAGAAGUGCUGGAACUGGCAUUUGUAUCUGUAACACUCAAAGAGAGCGACCCCUACCAUGCCGGAGUCUGUCCUGGCUGGAUUUAGUACCAUUGCGUGUACCUGCAUGUCCUCCUUGCAGGCAUAUCCCAGUUUCCCGGGUGGGUUUUUGUGCAUUGGUCCACAAAUGGAUUAGCUGGGAAGUUUCCAGGGCUAAGGGUGCAGGGGAAGCUGGAGGCCCUGCGGUGUACUCCUGCGUGCAAACUGUCUUCUGCAGAGGAGCCUUUGCUGGCGUAGCUCGUGUCAAGGUUUUGGAUGUUUAUCACUUGCAUUUUGGGGGACUUUAAAUUCCUCUGGCAAGAACCAGAGAUAAACUGAUUAGUGAGAAGAUUUGC
This 1931-nucleotide long non-coding RNA is filed under the name Mus musculus (house mouse). Its description in RNAcentral is "long non-coding RNA chr12:53359905-53361836". The record is from RNAcentral. Lineage: Eukaryota; Metazoa; Chordata; Mammalia; Rodentia; Muridae.